RNAcentral lists this ribosomal RNA (1143 nucleotides) under uncultured soil eukaryote. Its description in RNAcentral is "SSU rRNA". It matches the Rfam family "Eukaryotic small subunit ribosomal RNA", at positions 558 to 1634 of the family's 1831-position model. The record is from RNAcentral.
AGUCUGGUGCCAGCACCCGCGGUAAUUCCAGCUCUAAUAGUGUAUUUUAAAGUUGUUGCAGUUAAAACGCUCGUAGUCUAUCUAAAAGUUUACGCACCUUUUCGUUGCAGGAGUGAUAGUUAUCGUCAUUAGAAAUUUAGGUGAUGGUAACCGGAUCUUUUGUAGCUUCGGUAUCGGAGACUUUAAGUCAGUUCAACUGGCUUGGGUCCGAGAUAUGGAUUGGUGACGUAAAUUUGAUUAUCAACUGUGAUCAAAUCAGAGAGAUUCAAUCAGGCAAUGAUGUUUGCAAAAACUUGCCCGAAUGGUUCAGCAUAGCACUGAAAUCAAGUCCCUUUUGGGACGAAACGAAUGGAAGAUAGGGAAAGGGAACAAGUAUUGUCUCGCUAGAGGUGAAAUUCAGAGAACGUGCCAAGACUAGCAGACGCGAAAGCGGUGUCCCGUCACAUCUUCGUCGAUCAGGAACGAAAGUUGGGGGAGCGAAAAUGAUUAGAUACCGUUGUAGUCCCAACUGUAAACUAUAUUGACAAGGGAUUGGCUUGAAACCUUUUUUCCAGAUCUCCUCAGAAUCUAAAGGAAACUGAAAGUUUUUGAAUUCUGGGGGGAGUAUGGUCGCAAGGCUGAAACUUAAAAGAAUUGACGGAAGAGCACCACCAGGAGUGGAAUUUGCGGCUUAAUUCGACCCAACACGGGAAAACUCACCAAGUCCGGAUAUUUUGUGGGAUUGACAGAACAAAGUUCUUUCAUGACAAGUAAGUGGUGGUGCAUGGCCGUUCUUAGUUCGUGGAGCGAUUUGUCAGGUUUAUUCCGAUAACGAACGAGACCUUAAUCUACUAAUUAGCUGCCAGCCUGUAAAAUGGUUAGUUUGUAACAAAACUGGUGUAGUGCGUAGCAAUACGUCGUUUCUUAGAGAGACAAUGUGCGUUUUAAAAAAUUAGCACAGGGAGGUUUAAGGCAAUAACAGGUCUGUGAUGCCCUUCGAUGUUUUGGGCAGCACGCGUAUUACAAUAUUAAUUUCAACAAGCAUAUCAUCCGCCUUCUCUAAUUCAAAAAAGAGUGGGAAAACUGAGAAUUAUUAAUGUGACUGGGAUAGCUGCUUGUAAUUGCAUCUUGAACGAGGAAUUCCUAGUAAACGUAAGUCAUCAA